CAUCCCUUCCUCCCACCCCAAGCCGCACCCCCAUCUACCUACUAACCUCAUCCCACCUCUUUGACCUGUCCGUCUUCCCUGGACUGACCUUUUCUCUCCUCUCCACCUUCGGUCCGCCUCCCCCUCUCUCCCUAUUUAUUCCAGUUCCCUCUCCCCGUCCCCCUCUCUGAUGAAGGGUCUAGGCCCGAAACGUCAGCUUUUGUGCUCCUGAGAUGCUGCUUGGCCUGCUGUGCUCAUCCAGCCUCACAUUUUAUUAUUUUAGGAGAGAGAGCUGUUUUGGUUUGUGAUACAAGAGACGAGGCUGUCUAUGCCUUUCACCCAUCGGUAGCUCUCCUCCUGUCCCUGCCUCUAUGCACACACUCUGCCAGGCAUAGUCUUCCUCCCUCUGUGUGUGUGUGUCUCUCUCUCGCUUCAGCUCCUAAAACCUAAGAUGCAUCGGAUAUAAAAACACGCACAUAAACACACACACACACACACACACACAUCAACAAGCCAUGGAGAAAGAUCAGGAAUUACUGCAAGCUGUCAAAACCGAAGAUGUAGCUGCAAUGCAGAAGCUGUUGCAAAGGCCGAAACAAGGCAAAGCGAACAACAUCAGGUGAAGAUGUGCGUGAUUUCAGCAAGGUGCUGAAAAAUAAGUUCAGAUCAAAGAAAUACUUUGCCAAACAUCCUCGCUUGGGUUAUUUACCAGUACAAACAGUUCUAGAAGGCGAGAACCUUGAGACUGGAUCUGUUGGAGUUGCACACAGCGCAACGCGUCUUUGAUCAACACAAAUUGACACAAACCGAGCAACUUCUGAAUGUGACUGAAGUAAUCAACUGUUUAACGUCCAUUUAUGAUGUUUUGGAACAAAACCACAAGGACUUGGUCAAUGUGCCACUCUGUGUCGACAUGUGUCUGAACUGGCUGCUGAACGUAUUUGAUACGGGUAUGAGUGGAAGAAUCAGAGUGCUUUCUUUGAAAAUUGGCUUGACGUGACUCUUCAAGGAUCAUCUAGAGGAAAAAUACAAGUAUCUCUUCAAACAAGUCGCUGAACCCACAGAUUUAUGUGACCAACGAAGCCUGAGUCUUUUGCUUUACGAUGCAGUCCAGAUCCCUUGGCAGCUGGGUGAGGUAGCUUCAUUUGGAGGCUGCAACAUUGAACCAAGUAUCCGCAGUUGCUUCCAACAUGGCCAGAACAAACCAGAGAUUGAUGUUGAACGCUUUGUCGAGUGGAUGAGAUUGGAGCCUCAGUCCAUGGUGUGGCUGCCUGUUCGACACCGUGUGGCAGCUGCUGAAACUGCAAAACAUCAGGCUAAGUGUAACAUCUGCAAAGAGUACCCAA
Stegostoma tigrinum is the source of this 1325-nucleotide RNA transcript. It is a transcript of the gene named utrophin-like, with no coding region annotated. The record is from RefSeq and is a predicted model, not a curated record. Lineage: Eukaryota; Metazoa; Chordata; Chondrichthyes; Orectolobiformes; Stegostomatidae. The transcript is spliced from 6 exons.